RNAcentral lists this ribosomal RNA (440 nucleotides) under uncultured bacterium. RNAcentral describes it as "partial 16S ribosomal RNA". It matches the Rfam family "Bacterial small subunit ribosomal RNA", at positions 338 to 795 of the family's 1533-position model. The record is from RNAcentral.
CCUACGGGAGGCAGCAGUGGGGAAUAUUGCACAAUGGGGGAAACCCUGAUGCAGCGACGCCGCGUGAGUGAAGCAGUAUUUCGGUACGUAACGCUCUAUCAGCAGGGCAGAAAAUGACGGUACCUGACUAAGAAGCCCCGGCUAACUACGUGCCAGCAGCCGCGGUAAUACGUAGGGGGCAAGCGUUAUCCGGAUUUACUGGGUGUAAAGGGAGCGUAGACGGCAGCGCAAGUCUGGAGUGAAAUCCCAUGGCUUAACCAUGGAACUGCUUUGGAAACUGUGCAGCUAGAGUGCAGGAGAGGUAAGCGGAAUUCCUAGUGUAGCGGUGAAAUGCGUAGAUAUUAGGAGGAACACCAGUGGCGAAGGCGGUUUACUGGACUGUAACUGACGUUGAGGCUCGAAAGCGUGGGGAGCAAACAGGAUUAGAUACCCUUGUAGUC